RNAcentral lists this transfer RNA (74 nucleotides) under Candidatus Nitrosopumilus sp. RNAcentral describes it as "Nitrosopumilus sp. tRNA-Cys". It matches the Rfam family "tRNA". Rfam says of the family: Transfer RNA (tRNA) molecules are approximately 80 nucleotides in length. Their secondary structure includes four short double-helical elements and three loops (D, anti-codon, and T loops). Lineage: Archaea; Thermoproteati; Nitrososphaerota; Nitrososphaeria; Nitrosopumilales; Nitrosopumilaceae. The record is from RNAcentral.
GUGACGGUGGCCGAGUGGUUAGGCAACGGUUUGCAAAACCGUCUAUGACGGUUCGAUUCCGUCCCGUCACUCCA